CAGGAAGGGGAGGGUGGCCCCGUACUUUUGCUGCCUGGGAGUGGGCCAGCCCUGCUCCCUGGGUUUUCCUCACAAACGCCAUCCUCAGGUGGUUCUUGGCAGGCCUGGCGCCUCUUUGAGCCCCCUGACCGGCUGUGACUGUCUCCAGCCAAACCUGGAGAGAAAAUAUUUAGAGAAGGGGCCCCUCUCCCCUACUGAACACAGUCAGCUUUCAGUGCAUUCGGAGUGGUCCUGGGCCGCCCUCCUGAGACACCCUGGGGUGCCUUGGGUGGGGUGGUGCUCCUCUGAAAGGAGCACAGUAGGCCCUGGCAGAGUUUCAGACCCUCCCUGAGUCUGUGGGCCACGUGGACAGCAUAUCACAGCUCUGAUUCUAUUCUACAGCGAGUGAUGAACCAUUUGCAUAUUGGAACUGGAAAAGACCCCUCAGAGCAAAUCAUUUUUAUUGUACUUUACAGAAGUAUCUGUCCAUAACGGAUUGGAAUUAAUUAACAAACAAACACAAACAAGACUGGUCCUACAUCCGUAGCUUCUUUGAGAAACAAUGCUUUUGGCCGUGCCAUUUCAAGUCAAGAAGAGAGAUUCUGAAAAAUAUGAAAACAUCUAAGGCUUGCCCCAGUCUGGGCAAAACGCAUGAGCACUCACGCCUGAGGGGCCGGACUAACUUGGAAGGCAUGGGUUAUCAUUUCUUUGUGUCCUCAGAUUUCCCAGUGUCCACCCUGCCAUAGGGAAGUCGGGGGGCAGGCAUUCGUGGGGGACCUGGGGCUAAGUCAUCCCAUCUCCUGGCGCCCCAGUUUCCUCUCCUGCAACUGGGUCACCGGCAAGUGGGUCAGAGGUGCAGUUCUUCCCUGAUGUGGCUGCUGCCUGCUCCGAAGAAGCAGAUCUUUGUCAGCCUCCAGAGCUGCAGAAGGACACUAUCUUGGGCAUGAAUAUCCCACAGCAGCAGUGCUUUUCUUCUCUCUCCGCCGGACCUGGCUCAUUCUUGUCUGGCAGAGGAACAAGCGAUUUCUUUUUAUGAGCCUGCAAACCUCCAGCCUCCCAGCCUCCCAGCUGGCUGGGUGCCAGGGCUGGGCCUGACACACAGGCUGACGUCCCCACCCAGACCCAUGGUCCUGGCUGCUCCGAAUUCUGGAGCGUCUGAGUCACCAUGCCUGAGCCGGCGGCGUCUCCAUGAAAGAGUUCAGAAGAAUAAAGGAACAGGCUCUCCUAUGGGCCUGCUGAUAGCAAUCUAUCAGCAUGACUACAUUUUGGCCUCCUUUUUUUGCUGCCUCUAAUCCAGCAAAGCAGGCUGUGGGUGUCUGAUGGUGAACUGCCUAGCAGGGGAGGGAGUCCAUCAGAGUUCCCUUCCCAAAGGCGAUCGUGUGGGGAGUGUAAACCUCCCUCUGUCCUUCCCCCACAGUACUGUUGGUUUCUGCGCA
This 1415-nucleotide long non-coding RNA is filed under the name Homo sapiens (human). RNAcentral describes it as "HSALNT0281628". The record is from RNAcentral. Lineage: Eukaryota; Metazoa; Chordata; Mammalia; Primates; Hominidae.